GAUGAACGCUGACAGAAUGCUUAACACAUGCAAGUCAACUUGAACUUCGGUUUGGGUGGCGGACGGGUGAGUAACGCGUAAAGAACUUGCCUCACAGUUAGGGACAACAUUUGGAAACGAAUGCUAAUACCGGGUAUUAUGAUUUUAGGGCAUCCUAGAAUUAUGAAAGCUAUAUGCGCUGUGAGAGAGCUUUGCGUCCCAUUAGCUAGUUGGAGAGGUAACGGCUCACCAAGGCGAUGAUGGGUAGCCGGCCUGAGAGGGUGAACGGCCACAAGGGGACUGAGACACGGCCCUUACUCCUACGGGAGGCAGCAGUGGGGAAUAUUGGACAAUGGACCAAGAGUCUGAUCCAGCAAUUCUGUGUGCACGAUGAAGUUUUUCGGAAUGUAAAGUGCUUUCAGUUGGGAAGAAAAAAAUGACGGUACCAACAGAAGAAGUGACGGCUAAAUACGUG
Molecule: ribosomal RNA, 454 nt
Filed under: uncultured bacterium
Lineage: Bacteria
Description: partial 16S ribosomal RNA
Rfam family: Bacterial small subunit ribosomal RNA
Source: RNAcentral